Molecule: ribosomal RNA, 492 nt
Filed under: uncultured bacterium
Lineage: Bacteria
Description: partial 16S ribosomal RNA
Rfam family: Bacterial small subunit ribosomal RNA
Source: RNAcentral
AGUGAACGCUGGCGGUAGGCCUAACACAUGCAAGUCGAACGGCAGCACAGUAAGAGCUUGCUCUUACGGGUGGCGAGUGGCGGACGGGUGAGGAAUACAUCGGAAUCUACUUUUUCGUGGGGGAUAACGUAGGGAAACUUACGCUAAUACCGCAUACGACCUACGGGUGAAAGCAGGGGAUCUUCGGACCUUGCGCGAUUGAAUGAGCCGAUGUCGGAUUAGCUAGUUGGCGGGGUAAAGGCCCACCAAGGCGACGAUCCGUAGCUGGUCUGAGAGGAUGAUCCGCCACAAUGGAACUGAGACACGGGCCAGACUCCUAAGGGAGGCAGCAGUGGGGAAUAUUGGACAAUGGGCGCAAGCCUGAUCCAGCCAUACCGCGUGGGUGAAGAAGGCCUUCGGGUUGUAAAGCCCUUUUGUUGGGAAAGAAAAGCAGCAGGUUAAUACCCCGCUGUUCUGACGGUACCCAAAGAAUAAGCACCGGCUAACUUCGUG